RNAcentral lists this unclassified non-coding RNA (240 nucleotides) under soil metagenome. RNAcentral's name for it is "partial contains 5.8S ribosomal RNA, internal transcribed spacer 2, and large subunit ribosomal RNA". The record is from RNAcentral.
AAGACUAUAGACCUGCGGAGUACCUGCGGAAGGAUCAUUACCGAGUGCGGGCCCUCUGGGUCCAACCUCCCACCCGUGUUUAUUGUACCUUGUUGCUUCGGCGGGCCCGCCAUUCUGGCCGCCGGGGGGCUUGCCCCGGGCCCGCGCCCGCCGAAGACACCCUCGAACUCUGUCUGAAGAUUGUAGUCUGAGUGGAAUUAUAAAUUAUUAAAACUUUCAGCAACGGAUCUCUAGAUCGGA